Molecule: ribosomal RNA, 253 nt
Filed under: uncultured bacterium
Lineage: Bacteria
Description: partial 16S ribosomal RNA
Rfam family: Bacterial small subunit ribosomal RNA
Source: RNAcentral
UACGUAGGGUGCGAGCGUUAAUCGGAAUUACUGGGCGUAAAGCGUGCGCAGGCGGUCAGUUAAGUCUGAUGUGAAAGCCCCGGGCUCAACCUGGGAAUGGCAUUGGAAACUGGCUUGCUAGAGUGUGGCAGAGGGGGGUGGAAUUCCGCGUGUAGCAGUGAAAUGCGUAGAGAUGCGGAGGAACACCGAUGGCGAAGGCGGCCCCCUGGGCCGACACUGACGCUCAGGCACGAAAGCGUGGGGAGCAAACAGG